This is a long non-coding RNA of Hylaeus anthracinus, 2120 nucleotides long. RefSeq lists it as uncharacterized. NCBI's taxonomy places the organism in Eukaryota, Metazoa, Arthropoda, Insecta, Hymenoptera, Colletidae. The transcript has 2 exons. The record is from RefSeq and is a predicted model, not a curated record.
UAAACUAAUGAAUCUGGCUGUGAUAACGGGAUGCAGGGAGUAGAGGACUGACAUGGAGGCGUUGAUCGUCUUUCUCUCAAAUCAGGCCCGCCAAGAGGAAACGGGACUGACUUGGUGGCGGUGGUGGUGGGUUAAUGGCUACGCCGGCCGACCAAGGGGCCGACGACCGAUUUUCACGGGACACAACCCGAUAGGGGCACACGUGGUGGAGGAACGAGUUCCUUCGUCGAGAAUUCUUUUCUCGCCGGGGCCCGCCGUGGACGCGAUCGCCGAUUCGUCGCACUUGCGAAAAGAACGCGCAUAUUUAUCGUCGUCGUUAAUAAUGCACCGCCAGGGAAAGGUACGAAGGAAUUCACCGUCGCCCACCGCAACCAUUUGCUCAGAUCAUUGUCAACGAUUGCCGAACACGCGUUCCUUCGAGAAUCAAGCCUAGAAAGACCGAGAUGUCGGGUUAACGAGUUGAUCGUCAUAUCACCUACACAUGGGUGACAGCUUUUUACCGAGGAACUGAGACAAUUAAUUCUAAAGUCAUGCUAUGGACGAAAAUUAAUCCGAAGUAAAUUUGUGAAUAGGAUGGAGUUGGAGGAACAAGUACGGAGCAUAAGUAUGCAGCUUCUAAUUGUCUCGAAAGAAAAUUUUAAUAACGUAGAGAUUUUCACCGGUAUCGGCUUGGCAAUUAACUUGUUAAUGACAAACGGAGGAAACCUCGAUCCUGCGUCAUCCAAAAUUAUCUUCAGAAAACAGUCUAUUUCAGACGUUUAGAUGUUAUAACGCAAAUACCUAAUACCGACCAAAAGGAAUAGGCUAAUUUGUCUAGCAAAUUCUAUUUUACGAAUAGAUUUUUAUCCCCUGAAAUGAGUUCAAUCGUCGUAUUAGAUUGAUAAACAUGUUUUAGGUGUAUUUUGGGCAUUUCGACCGUCAGUCCCUUCGAUGUAGUACUUUCAUAGAUUUUAAUAAUGUGAGAAGAUUCAAAAAUAUACGAAUACUUAAAAUGAUACAAUAAUAUUAAAAUUGUGUAGGUGACGAAAAUUUGGUGUCGUGCGUACUCUUACGAGCAAGAUUUAUUUAUAUAUGGCACACCAAUAUAGAAAUUCGUGAAAAUUAAAAUACAUCGAAGCAGUACUUGUCGAAUUUCAAUGAUUGAAUUUCGUUACGAUGACAGGCCUUAUUAUUAAUAUUACAUAGAAUAAAUUCGUAAAAAUCGACUUAUGGGUACUCCUCUUGCGACGCAAUCAGAAAGCAAAAACAGGCUUCAUUUCCUCUUUGGUCAACAAGUUAUUUAAUGCUCGCAGUCAAGAUACCUCCGAAUGUUUAAGAGUCAAGGUCGAAGCUUCCAAACUCUGCGAAACACGGGACUGAAAUUUUCCACUUUAUUUUCGGAGCCGUCGUUAAAUGCCGCGCAUUCGAAGGAGUUUGUAUACAUUUUAGCGGGCGAAACGGUGCUUUCGAUUUCAUAAAGAUGGCCGAACGUCAACCGAGGAUACUCGUACGCAUGUAAACGGAAGCUGCCGAAGAAUCCCUGCAGGUGUGCGACCAAAUGUUUCCACAUAAAUUGCCCGUGCCGUGUGACAAGUCGCAAUUAAAUAAAUACUCGUAAGAUAAACUUGUUUACUUCCUGCUGAAGAAUGUUUAUUCGAAGGGGGUCGAGGUGCAUGCUGCGAAAUUCACAGGAGGACUCCUCCGUAUACCGGUUUGUCGAGUUUCCCGGCGACGUUAGUUUCUCAGUUUUAAUCCCCGACUCUACUUCCGAAAUGAACCAUUCGGAUAUCUAAACGUCCGUACUUUGGAUAAAAGAGUAGCGUUCGCGCCUCGCGUAAACCGACUUUAUCGAAACAUGUUGAUGUAUUUCGCGAUUGCUAAAUUGCUGUGGGUCGACUGCCGAUCGAGGACACGAGAAAAUAACCAUAAGACGGCAGAAUUUUACUCUUUGGACCAUUUGUGGGGAAUAUUGGUAUGGUUUCGUCGGUGACGAGUAGGAGUAUCAAAAUAAUAGAAAAGUAACGGACUAAUUUACUUUUAAAUGCUGUAUGACCUACUACUAUGGUUUACGUAGUAAUAAAAUGAUGGACUGCUUCUUGGUGGUCAGUUCUAUAAUGCUAACUUUAUCCUAUUCCGCUAAA